This 72-nucleotide transfer RNA is filed under the name Candidatus Brevefilum sp. RNAcentral describes it as "tRNA-Gly". It matches the Rfam family "tRNA". Rfam says of the family: Transfer RNA (tRNA) molecules are approximately 80 nucleotides in length. Lineage: Bacteria; Bacillati; Chloroflexota; Anaerolineae; Anaerolineales; Anaerolineaceae. The record is from RNAcentral. RNAcentral also lists the same sequence under 4 other names.
GCGGGUGUAGUUCAAUGGUAGAACGUCUCCUUGCCAAGGAGAAGGUUGAGAGUUCGAGUCUCUUCGCCCGCU